This is a long non-coding RNA of Doryrhamphus excisus (bluestripe pipefish), 1771 nucleotides long. RefSeq lists it as uncharacterized. The record is from RefSeq and is a predicted model, not a curated record. NCBI's taxonomy places the organism in Eukaryota, Metazoa, Chordata, Actinopteri, Syngnathiformes, Syngnathidae.
UUGUUGCAUCAACCCAACCAGAACAAAUUCCUCCUAUUGCGUCAACUAUACCAGAUUCUGAUUCUGAACAAUAUAUAAAUAUAAUCAUAUUGACAAUAUAAUAAUGUUAUAAUGUUCAAUAUAAUGUUCAAACAAACAUCGAGUGAAACUGAUAUCACUACUGGUAUCGAUAUUUGACUCGAAUCGCCCAAUGGAGGUUAUCAGCCAAUUAGAUGCGCUGGGGGGCGGGGCUUAUCGAAAACACGGAAGUUUGAAAAGCACUUCCAGCUGUGAGCCGCUAAAUACUGACGAGGGGAUACCGGAAGUACACGUUUAUUGUAUGUGACUUGACACGGACACCUGGCAGGUAUCUGUUCAUGUGUUCAAGCCUCUUUUAGCUAGUUAGCAUGCUGCUAACGUGACAGACAGAGUCUGAAUGAAACCUGCUGGUCGUUUGCGUGAUGGACGUUCUUCAAAAAGUCAUAAGGAAGAGUCAUGAGUGCUGACAACACUGUACACUGUAAGGGCUGGAUUCCAAUAAGAGUUUGACUUGCCCUCCUUCCUCGAGCCACUUGUUAUGACGUCACUGGAUGUGGAUGUGAGAGGAAUGGAAAUGAUAAAUGGAACGCACCUUCUCUUCUUCACUUUCAGCCCAAGCAGUGCAUUCUGGGUAUCUCUCAAGUGACUCGCUCGCUCAGCCGUCCAAAGGUAGAUUUCACCAAGUUUACUCCAUCUUUUCGAGGGAAAUGGAACGACACGUGAGGGCAAGUGCGGAGGGCAACUGUGUUGGAUAAUAAAAAAAGUAAUAAAAAAAGAAUAAUAUAAGAAGAAUAUGUAUAUUGUUGAGAUGUCUGACUUGUGGUUAAUGAUGACGAUGAAUAUACCAGUAAGUACACCAGACUGGCGGAGAUAGUCUACCCAUUUUAAAAUUCUUUCAUGCAGGUAGAAAAAGUAAAAAAAAUAACAAAAAAAUAAACAUUCACAAAAUGGAGCUUAAAAAAAAAAAAAAAAUCCACAGCGGAUUUAUCCUUAACUCUUCAUCUUUCUGCUUGAGCUGGCGCUCAGCGUAAACGUCUUAUCUCGCCAUUUCCACACGCGCUCAUUGAAGAAGGGAAUCCAUUCCCGUACAGUGCUAUUGUGUCAGUGUGCAAAAUGAAUAUAAAUUGCAUCAAUUUCCACUGAUAAAUGCAGCGACAUUGUGCCGUGGAUGCGGGAUUAGUGUAUAAUUGGGAGGAAAUGUCAGGGAUAUGUUACAAUAUGCAACGCCGCACUAAAUAUGCGUCUUGCUGGGACAACGCGUUCUGCCUCCCAAAAAAGCUUAUGGAAACUUUGGAUGGACUUGAGAUGAUUGACAGCUCUCGCUCGUCACUACGCCCACGCGUGAUUGGAGGAAAAACAUGUCCCGCUUCAGGAUGGAAUUGGACUAAGCACCUCACAUGUCACCUUGUACAAACUAUCACAGAAUGUUUGCUAUAUGUCGAGGAAUGUUAACUAUUAGUUUUUAAUAGAUUGUUGAGUGAGACUUCAAGAGCGCUAACUCGUAAAGUUCGCUUUCCUGCAUGUCAUAACAAAAAAAUUAAGAGUUUGAACGACUGCACGACUUAAAGAUAUGCUAAGUAUUAGCAAAUUGUUGUGGAGCAAAAACCUGGCUCGCUUUGUUUUGCUCAACCAAAACCAAAAAAUACAAGCUGUGCAAUAUACACUACCGCUCAAAAGUUUGGGAUCACUUGCAAAUUUCUUUGUUUUCUAAAAAAAAAACAAAAACAAAUUUUCAAAAUUUAAAUUUUCAUUU